This 496-nucleotide ribosomal RNA is filed under the name Helotiales sp. RNAcentral's name for it is "eukaryotic LSU rRNA". The stretch from base 185 to 338 matches the Rfam family "5.8S ribosomal RNA". The record is from RNAcentral. Lineage: Eukaryota; Fungi; Ascomycota; Leotiomycetes; Helotiales.
UGCGGAGGGAUCAUUACCGAGUUCAUGCCCUUACGGGUAGACCUCCCACCCUAUGUUAUAUUACCUUUGUUGCUUUGGCGGGCCGCCCGGCUUCGGCCAGGCUACCGGCUCCAGCUGGUAAGCGCUCGCCAGAGGACCCUCAACUCUGAAUAUCAGUGUCGUCCGAGUACUAUAAAAUAGUUAAAACUUUCAACAACGGAUCUCUUGGUUCUGGCAUCGAUGAAGAACGCAGCGAAAUGCGAUAAGUAAUGUGAAUUGCAGAAUUCAGUGAAUCAUCGAAUCUUUGAACGCACAUUGCGCCCCUUGGUAUUCCGAGGGGCAUGCCUGUUCGAGCGUCAUUACAACCCUCAAGCACUGCUUGGUAUUGGGCUCCGCUGGCUCCAGCGGGCCUUAAAAUCAGUGGCGGCGCCGUUUGGGCUCUGAGCGUAGUAAAUAUCCUCGCUAUAGAGACCAGGCGGUUCUUGUCAUCAACCCCCAACUUUCUAAGUUUGACCUC